This 58-nucleotide non-coding RNA is filed under the name unclassified sequences. The record is from Rfam.
AUCGUUCAAUCUGUGUGUAAACAGAUCGGAAGUAGGCUAAUAGUCGAAGGAACGCGGA